Molecule: long non-coding RNA, 3676 nt
Organism: Syngnathus acus (greater pipefish)
Lineage: Eukaryota; Metazoa; Chordata; Actinopteri; Syngnathiformes; Syngnathidae
Exons: 2
Source: RefSeq, a predicted model, not a curated record
CUGAAAAUCUAAUGAGUCUCCUCAACUGAUUAACUGAGAUGAAUAAUCGGCUAGCCAUCGUAUACUUAUGGACAAAAGUAUUGAGACUCACAUCUUAAUAUGAUUAUUUGAAUUAUUAGUCAAUCAGGGUUAAGAUAUCUUCUUAGUUUCCUUUGCAUUUUGUUUUUUGAACAGUUGACUCCUCGACUUUACCACUUUGCAAUGCCGAUUAUUGCUUGCGGUCGAUUAAUGGCUAAUCACGGGUUUGGCAACAACAUGCCUGCCCGAAAAAAACAGAUGGUGUUUUGCAGCGGUGCCUCGUGAGACUGGUAGCACGGUCACUACACCAAAAUAUUAAAGUCUAUCCUCAAAAAAUACCAAAGCACAAGCACUAUGCACAGCCAACUGAAAAGGCAAUCACUAACGCUAGCAGGGUGAAAUCAUAUCAGCCACCUUCCUGUAACGGUAAAAAAACAAACAAUAAUGUAUGUCCUGCCAGAAAAAGAAAAUGAAGGCAUGUGUUCAGUCAUUAACCUCAAAGCUUGAAAGGUUAAAGUCGCCAGAGAAAAUAUCAAAGUUGCAUUUUCUUUUCUCCAGCAGAUACUCAUAGUCCUCGUCCUUUUCCUACACCCUCUGACUCACUCAUCCAUGUACGAAUCACAAACACCUUCAGGGUGUCACAGAUAAUCAGAUCUUUUAAAACUCUUGCAACAAUCCACAUAACUGCAGGUUUUCUAUGUAACAUUUCAAAUCAUUUCCACUUUUCUGUAUUUUUGUAGGUCGACUUGCGCGUUGUCCAAACCAAAAUAAUUAAAAAAGUGUAUUAUAUUGUUUGUUUUUACCAUUUCUUCUGGAUGCAAGUAUUAAAACAGGCUUGUGAAGUUGUCAAGCAACGGGAUGGAUCAAAUGAAAUCAUUAGCUUGUAAUGGAUGGAGGGGGAAACAACAGAACUCAAAGCUGGUUCUCCACAUGAUACAAAAAUCAUUUCCCAACCAUCAUCUCAACAGCGUCACUAAUGUGCUCUCAGCAUGUUCGAUUAGCCUCCCAACACAAGUAAUACAGGGUGAAUAUUAUUUUUUCCACAAUUGAAUGUGCUUUCAAAUAGGUGAAACGCACUUGUUGAAUAGAUGUAAAGAAGCGACUCAAGACGAGGCUCCGUUUUUAAAUCACAUUAGUGACAUGAAAUAUCAUUUAAUGUUAUUUGCAAGAGUUUGCCCUUUAAAAGUAAUAAGUCAAUUAAUUGAUGUGUUUUGCAUACAUGACCAAUGUAGCAAUACGGUGAAUUUAAAGGACGUCCAGACUUUUUUUAACUACUUUGUUGUGAUGAAUUUACCAGCGCCUCUGUUGCUUGCAAUCCAUCUAGCCACAAUUACUUCGAGAUGAAUCGACACUCAGUUUCCAUAUAAAUUCUUAAAGUUGGCUAAAUCAAUCAGUCCUAACAAGCCGUGUAUACAACCUAAUGCAUCUUGUUGUUUAUCAAUGAGUAAUAGAAUGGGAAUUGUCUCCAUGGUGAUCAAGCACCAGCCUCCAUCUCUAAUUAAAAGGGUGUCACAGUAGAAAAUGAUGACAAAACAGGAGCGGUAGUCUACUCAAAGAUUUUUCCUCUCCUCUAUUCAAAGUUGUGUUUGAGAGAUAUACUUCAGUUUCCAUGGCAACAUAUUAACUGACACACUGUGUGCCACCACGCUCGACAUUAACACAAGUAAAACAAAGGGAAUAAUGUGUUUGCUGGUCGCCGAGCGUUCCAAUCGUCUGGAGUCUCAUCUGCACACUUUCAUUAAGCAAAGGAGCACAGCCGCCUCUUUUGUGCAUUGUAAAAAUACACAAGAGGGCUUGUAUGGUGCGCUCAUGCAAUCUCAAACUACAAUUGCACUAAUAACGCCAGAGUAGCACAUGUUUGUUUGUUCUCAGGUGUCAUGGAAGCAAUUGAAUCUUUUGUUAUCGGAGCUACCAACUUGCCCGCAAGCCAACACAUUGCAGGGAUUAAACCCCGCAACAGUUGUGCGCGUGAGUUUGUUGUUGUGUGAAAAGUAAUGAAGAGGUGGCAAAUAUACUCACACACUACUUGGGUACAAGUAAAGAUACUUGUGGAAGAGACAGUUGGAAGAAAUAGAAAUAAUAAUUCAUUCCAAUAAGAGUGUUGCAUUAGAUUUUCAACAUGGUGAAAGCACUGGCCUGCCGAGCUUGGUGGAAUCUGGUUUGCCAAAUUGAAAAACAAAAACAGCAAGCAUUGCUUUACCAAAUAAAUCCCUGGAUUUGUUACGAAUCCUCUCAGCUUCCCAUGGCCUCUCCCCCCGCUUCAUCUGAUCCAAUUCUGUCUUUUUAACUUUUGUUGCCAACCAGAGAAAUCUCCCAAGGCCCAACAAAACAAGUCGUGGCAGUAGGUUUCACAAAAAAUAAAUGACACCUCGUCAGUCACAUCUUUUAUCUGUUACUGGUUUGUUUUUCUCCGACGCGUGGUUCCGGAAGACUGUAAUUGCAGGUACAUGUUCUCCACAGAUUAAUUUAAUGUCUUUCAGUCAGCUUCACUAGCAAUUCAUACAAAUAUGGAAAAUCUAUUUUAUUUUCAAACAUUGCGACCUCCCUCUUUAGGUUUGAGGUUUAAUGAAUUUUUAAAAUAUUCAUAGUGAGAAGAAAAUAGAUACUUUACUCAAGUAAAGCUCUGCUACCAGAAAAACCGACAUAAGUACAGAAAGAAAAUAUUUGUACUUGGUUACGUUCUACCACAGGAGUGAAGGGAAAUUGUUGAAUGUUCAAAGUUAUUAUGUGCCUCCUAUUUUUAGAUCAAAUCAAGAAAGUGUUUUGACUCCACAGACAAGCCGAGUGCUCUUCUUCUAACGAGAGUCGACGUCAGAACGCCCUGUCGGAGAGGCUGAAUAUAGAUGCAAAGAAACACAUCAUAAAGUGCUACUUUAAAGUUCAGUGGUUGGGAAAUGAUUUUCAAGUUGCUCUUAGGAGAUGUGAAUACACACAUCGCAAGACAAACUAGUUUUAUUGCCAGAUGGUCCUCGCACAUUUAGCGUUGUCGCACAUUAGCUAGGCGUUGAUGAGCGGAAGUGAAAUGUUGACAUUUUAAAUUCUUCUAUUAAAAGCUGCCUUUCCUCCCAUUUACAAUGUUUGUUGGUUUUGCUGAAAAAAAAAUCGACCAAAUCGAAUGCAUUGUUUCAUGAAUGAUUCAAUGUGAAUAGGGAUAUCGGCUCUCAAAAUUAUACAGUCAUUAGGAAUCCCUGAAAAUGUAUUCUCUGAGAAAUCCAAACUAUAUGCAUAUGCAGAUAGGCUCUAUUUAGGAAGAUGCUGUUUGCGGAUUUGAUUUUGAGUGGUUGUGUUCCUUUUGCAUCGCUGUAGUAUAAAUCGCAGUUGAGAGCUUGAUUGCUCUCGACCGCCAUCAGAUGGAGUGUGACAUCACAAAUGAAGGCACGCUCAUUAAACACUGAUUCUUCAUUCAAAUUUCCAAAGAUAAUUUCAACUUGGAUGCUGAUGAAGUGGUAAAACUCCCUUCGCAUUGACACUUUUUGGAUGAUGUGGCAUUUUGUCACUUGGGGUUCUGUGGGAAAGGUUCUGUUUGAAAGAUCAUUUGUGGAACUGCUUUCUGCUUGAAUGACAAGUUGGCAACCUGACAAAUGUCACAGUCGUAUUUCUUUCAAAUAUAUACCCUGACAUACUCUAGCCCAUUUUUAAGAUAUCCUUUGUGUUUGGA